UACAGAGGUCUCAAGCGUUGUUCGGAUUCAUUGGGCGUAAAGGGUGCGUAGGCGGCGCGGUAAGUCGGGUGUGAAAUCUCGGAGCUUAACUCCGAAACUGCAUUCGAUACUGCGGUGCUUGAGGACUGGAGAGGAGACUGGAAUUUACGGUGUAGCAGUGAAAUGCGUAGAUAUCUGCAGGAACACCCGUGGCGAAAGCGGCGCGCUGGACCACUACUGACGCUGAGGAACGAAAGCUAGGGGAGCAAACAGG
This 253-nucleotide ribosomal RNA is filed under the name uncultured bacterium. Its description in RNAcentral is "partial 16S ribosomal RNA". It matches the Rfam family "Bacterial small subunit ribosomal RNA", at positions 524 to 776 of the family's 1533-position model. The record is from RNAcentral.